Molecule: long non-coding RNA, 662 nt
Organism: Clupea harengus (Atlantic herring)
Lineage: Eukaryota; Metazoa; Chordata; Actinopteri; Clupeiformes; Clupeidae
Source: Ensembl
AGACAGAGACAGAGACAGAGACAGAGACAGAGGCAGAGACAGAGGCAGAGACAGAGACACACAGAGACAGAGACAGAGACAGAGACAGAGACAGAGACAGAGACAGAGACAGAGGCAGAGACAGAGGCAGAGACAGAGACAGAGACAGAGGCAGAGACAGAGACACACAGAGGCAGAGACAGAGGCAGAGACAGAGACAGAGACAGAGACAGAGACACACAGAGACAGAGACAGAGACACACAGAGACAGAGGCAGAGGCAGAGGCAGAGGCAGAGGCAGAGACAGAGACAGAGACAGAGACAGAGACAGAGACAGAGACAGAGACAGAGACAGAGGCAGAGGCAGAGGCAGAGGCAGAGGCAGAGACAGAGGCAGAGACAGAGGCAGAGACACACAGAGGCAGAGCGCUGCUGCUGCUGUUGGGGUGGGUUGACCUGUCUGUCUGUCUGUCUGUCUGUCUGUCUGUGGAGAUGAUGUGUGGACCUGUCUGUCUGUCUGUCUGUCUGUCUGUCUGUCUGCCUGUAGAGAUGAUGUGUGGACCUGUCUGUCUGUCUGUCUGUCUGUCUGUCUGCCUGUAGAGAUGAUGUGUGGACCUGUCUGUCUGUCUGUCUGUCUGUCUGUCUGUCUGUCUGUGGAGAUGAUGUGUGGACCUGUCUGUCUG